Molecule: small nuclear RNA, 119 nt
Filed under: Stegodyphus mimosarum
Lineage: Eukaryota; Metazoa; Arthropoda; Arachnida; Araneae; Eresidae
Description: U2 spliceosomal RNA
Rfam family: U2 spliceosomal RNA
About the family: U2 is a small nuclear RNA (snRNA) component of the spliceosome (involved in pre-mRNA splicing). Complementary binding between U2 snRNA (in an area lying towards the 5' end but 3' to hairpin I) and the branchpoint sequence (BPS) of the intron results the bulging out of an unpaired adenosine, on the BPS, which initiates a nucleophilic attack at the intronic 5' splice site, thus starting the first of two transesterification reactions that mediate splicing.
Source: Rfam by way of RNAcentral
UCGCUUCUCGGCCUUUUGGCUAAGAUCAAAGUGUAGUAUCUGUUCUUAUCAGCUUAAUUUGCCCACAUAAUUUAUUUUUAUUUUUAUAGUGGUGAAGAUGCUGAUGAACUAGACUCUUC